CUACGGGAUGCAGCAGUGAGGAAUAUUGCACAAUGGGGGGAACCCUGAUGCAGCAACGCCGCGUGGAGGAUGACGCAUUUCGGUGUGUAAACUCCUUUUAUAUGCCAAGAAAAUGACGGUAGCAUAUGAAUAAGCACCGGCGUAACUCCGUGCCAGCAGCCGCGGUAAUACGGAGGGUGCAAGCGUUACUCGGAAUCACUGGGCGUAAAGGACGCGUAGGCGGGUUGGAAAGUCAGGUGUGAAAUCCUACAGCUUAACUGUAGAACUGCACUUGAAACUUCUAAUCUAGAGUAUGGGAGGGGGAGAUGGAAUUAGUGGUGUAGGGGUAAAAUCCGUAGAUAUCACUAGGAAUACCUAAAGCGAAGGCGAUCUCCUGGAACAUUACUGACGCUAAGGCGUGAAAGCGUGGGGAGCAAACAGGAUUAGAUACCCCUGUAGUC
RNAcentral lists this ribosomal RNA (440 nucleotides) under uncultured bacterium. RNAcentral describes it as "partial 16S ribosomal RNA". It matches the Rfam family "Bacterial small subunit ribosomal RNA", at positions 339 to 795 of the family's 1533-position model. The record is from RNAcentral.